This 84-nucleotide transfer RNA is filed under the name Candidatus Aenigmatarchaeota archaeon. RNAcentral's name for it is "tRNA-Leu". It matches the Rfam family "tRNA". From Rfam's summary of the family: Transfer RNA (tRNA) molecules are approximately 80 nucleotides in length. Their secondary structure includes four short double-helical elements and three loops (D, anti-codon, and T loops). Lineage: Archaea; Nanobdellati; Candidatus Aenigmatarchaeota. The record is from RNAcentral.
GCGGGGGUAGCCAAGUGGUCAAAGGCGCAGGGUUGAGGGCCCUGUCCCUUAGUGGGUUCGUGAGUUCGAAUCUCACCCCCCGCA